GUCAAUGAUGCAAUCCUUGUAGGAGGGAAUACCCUUGUCUCUUGCUCUUCAGAUACUACAGUCAAGAUUUGGGAUAGCUUUUCUGAUGGAACUUGCAAAAGAACUCUCCACCAACACACAGAUUAUGUUACUUGUCUUGCUUCCUCAGAAAAAAAAUAGCAAUAUUGUUGCAUCUGGUGGAUUGGGUGGGUGAGGUGUUCAUUUGGGAUCUUGAAGUUGUAGUUACUCCAGUCACCAAGAAUACUGAAACGCCAGCUGUCACUGAUUCUUCAAAUGGAAAUUCAGUGCCAGUUACAAGUCUACGUGCUGUAAGCUCAAGCAAUGGCAUUACAUCACUCACAAAUACACCUCAAGGAUAUGUUCCCAUUUCUUCUAAAGGACAUAAAGAGUCUGUUUAUGCAUUAGCAAUGAAUGAUACUGGAACUCUUUUGUUAUCUGGUGGCACAAA
This is a long non-coding RNA of Lactuca sativa (garden lettuce), 448 nucleotides long. RefSeq lists it as uncharacterized. Lineage: Eukaryota; Viridiplantae; Streptophyta; Magnoliopsida; Asterales; Asteraceae. The record is from RefSeq and is a predicted model, not a curated record.